RNAcentral lists this transfer RNA (69 nucleotides) under Sipunculus nudus (marine worm). RNAcentral's name for it is "tRNA-Ile". The record is from RNAcentral. Lineage: Eukaryota; Metazoa; Annelida; Sipuncula; Golfingiida; Sipunculidae.
GGCAUUGCGCCGGGCAUGAACGGAUAACUCUGAUGACGUUAAACACGAGGAGACUCUCCUCCAAUGCCU